GCAUAUCAAUAAGCGGAGGAAAAGAAACUAACUAGGAUUCCCUUUAGUAACGGCGAGUGAACCGGGAUGAGCUCAAAUUUAAAAUCUGGCGUCUUUCAGGCGUCCGAGUUGUAAUCUAUAGAGGCGUUUUCCGCGCUGGACCGCGUCCAAGUCUCUUGGAAUAGAGUAUCAAAGAGGGUGACAAUCCCGUACUUGACGCGACAACCGGUGCUCUGCUGAUACGUUCUCAAUGAGUCGAGUUGUUUGGGAAUGCAGCUCUAAAUGGGUGGUAAAUUCCAUCUAAGGCUAAAUAUUGGCGAGAGACCGAUAGCGAACAAGUACCGUGAGGGAAAGAUGAAAAGCACUUUGGAAAGAGAGUUAAACAGCACGUGAAAUUGUUAAAAGGGAAACGAUUGAAGUCAGUCGUGUGAAAGGUAUUCAGCCGGGUCUGGCGGUGUAUUUGCCUUUCACGGGUCAACAUCAGUUUGAUCCGGUAGAAAAAGGCGGGAGGAAGGUGGCACCCUCGGGUGUGUUAUAGCCUCCUGUCAUAUGUGCC
RNAcentral lists this ribosomal RNA (535 nucleotides) under Vishniacozyma victoriae. RNAcentral's name for it is "partial large subunit ribosomal RNA". It matches the Rfam family "Eukaryotic large subunit ribosomal RNA", at positions 38 to 577 of the family's 3401-position model. Lineage: Eukaryota; Fungi; Basidiomycota; Tremellomycetes; Tremellales; Bulleribasidiaceae. The record is from RNAcentral.